GAUGAACGCUGGCGGCGUGCCUAAUACAUGCAAGUCGAGCGAACAGACGAGGAGCUUGCUCCUCUGACGUUAGCGGCGGACGGGUGAGUAACACGUGGAUAACCUACCUAUAAGACUGGGAUAACUUCGGGAAACCGGAGCUAAUACCGGAUAAUAUAUUGAACCGCAUGGUUCAAUAGUGAAAGACGGUUUUGCUGUCACUUAUAGAUGGAUCCGCGCCGCAUUAGCUAGUUGGUAAGGUAACGGCUUACCAAGGCAACGAUGCGUAGCCGACCUGAGAGGGGGAUCGGCCACACUGGAACUGAGACACGGUCCAGACUCCGACGGGAGGCAGCAGUAGGGAAUCUUCCGCAAUGGGCGAAAGCUUGACGGAGCAACGCCGCGUGAGUGAUGAAGGUCUUCGGAUCGUAAAACUCUGUUAUUAGGGAAGAACAAAUGUGUAAGUAACUAUGCACGUCUUGACGGUACCUAAUCAGAAAGCCACGGCUAACUACGUG
This 497-nucleotide ribosomal RNA is filed under the name uncultured bacterium. RNAcentral's name for it is "partial 16S ribosomal RNA". It matches the Rfam family "Bacterial small subunit ribosomal RNA", at positions 28 to 507 of the family's 1533-position model. The record is from RNAcentral.